GAGGGAGCAGCAGUGAAGAGACACCGAAGACAGUGAUUGAGUCCGCCGAAGACAGGAUGGGUGAAAACAGAUCUGGAGGGAGCAGCAGUGAAGAACCACUGAAGACAGCGUAGAGUCCGCCGAAGACAGGAUGGGUGAAAAACAGAUCUGGCGGGAGCAGCAGUGAAGAGACCACGAAGACAGCGUUGAGUCCGCCGAAGACAGGAUAGGUGAUUUAGUUUAGAGAUUAUGAGGAGUCAUACAUAACAGGGAAGCAACUGGAAAAUGGCCAAAACGACUAUUCCAGCAAGGACGAUUAUGAUGAGGAUGAUGACAGAAAAAUAAAACAAGUCAUAAUUAGUAACUGUAAUAACCUUUCAACUUUUUGAAAAAAAGGCUUCUUUGCUUUUGGCAUUUACAAAAAAGUAUUAAGUUCUAGUAAAUUCAACCAAUGGAAAUACCCCUGUUCAAUUCUUUUGAUUAAUAAACCAUUUAAAUAUUAA
Molecule: long non-coding RNA, 482 nt
Organism: Macrobrachium nipponense
Lineage: Eukaryota; Metazoa; Arthropoda; Malacostraca; Decapoda; Palaemonidae
Exons: 2
Source: RefSeq, a predicted model, not a curated record